This is a ribosomal RNA of Scophthalmus maximus (turbot), 119 nucleotides long. Lineage: Eukaryota; Metazoa; Chordata; Actinopteri; Pleuronectiformes; Scophthalmidae. The record is from Ensembl.
GCUUACGGCCACACCGCCUGGUUCACGCCCGAUCUCGUUUGAUCUCGGAAGCUAAGGUAGGUUGGGCCUGGUUAGUACUUGGAUGGGAGACCGCCUGGGAAUACCAGGUGCUGUAAAGC